This 257-nucleotide ribosomal RNA is filed under the name uncultured bacterium. RNAcentral describes it as "partial 16S ribosomal RNA". It matches the Rfam family "Bacterial small subunit ribosomal RNA", at positions 524 to 776 of the family's 1533-position model. The record is from RNAcentral.
UACAGAGGGUGCAAGCGUUUGUUCGGAAUUACUGGGCGUAAAGCGCACGUAGGCGGCUUUGUAAGUUAGAGGUGAAAGCCCGGGGCUCAACUCCGGAAUUGCCUUUAAGACUGCAUCGCUAGAACGUCGGAGAGGUACGGUGGGAAUUCCGAGUGUAGAGGUGAAAUUCGUAGAUAUCGGGGAGGAACACCAGUGGCGAAGGCGGCCAUCUGGACAGUGACUGACGCUGAGACGCGAAAGCGUGGGUAGCAAACAGG